CGUGAAAGAGGAGAAACAUAAGGUUAAAACUUAAAACGAAUGAAUUUUAUCAUUAAGCGGAAGGAAUUUUCCAAAUAAUCCUCCUAAAUUUCAUAUAUAAACCUAUUAGAGAGGCUACUCUAAAAAAAAUUCACAAUUUUCGAGAACGUAAAAUUCAUAACAUAAAAGGGUUGUUUCCGUAAAUCCUCGUUCUAAGUACUUACAUGAGUCAGAACACGCCUACAUCCAUGUAAAACAUUCCUUGUCUUACUACAUCUCGAUCAUCUUAUCUGUUAUGAUGUCUUUGAAUCAAAAUCCCAAAAGUUUUGGUUCCCGCAAAAAUAAACCACGACCUACGUAUAUGAUCUUUAGUCAAGUUGGCAAGAACGUAAUGCAUGCCUCUCCAAUCGGCAGUUUACUUUCAACGGCAUAUUCACCGAAUCAUUUGCAACCAAAUCAACUCCUUGAACUACCCGACUCUCCCCUCGACCCUCCCCUCUAGGCUUUUAUGUUAUGACAUGCUGGUUCAUGGAAAUGCACAUACAUAAACAUAAGUUUUUU
This is a long non-coding RNA of Arabidopsis thaliana (thale cress), 540 nucleotides long. RefSeq annotates it as other RNA. NCBI's taxonomy places the organism in Eukaryota, Viridiplantae, Streptophyta, Magnoliopsida, Brassicales, Brassicaceae. The record is from RefSeq. The transcript has a single exon.